AGUGAACGCUGGCGGUAGGCCUAACACAUGCAAGUCGAACGGCAGCACAGUAAGAGCUUGCUCUUACGGGUGGCGAGUGGCGGACGGGUGAGGAAUACAUCGGAAUCUACUUUUUCGUGGGGGAUAACGUAGGGAAACUUACGCUAAUACCGCAUACGACCUACGGGUGAAAGCAGGGGAUCUUCGGACCUUGCGCGAUUGAAUGAGACGAUGUCGGAUUAGCUAGUUGGCGGGGUAAAGGCCCACCAAGGCAACGAUCCGUAGCUGGUCUGAGAGGAUGAUCAGCCACACUGGAACUGAGACACGGUCCAGACUCCUACGGGAGGCAGCAGUGGGGAAUAUUGGACAAUGGGCGCAAGCCUGAUCCAGCCAUACCGCGUGGGUGAAGAAGGCCUUCGGGUUGUAAAGCCCUUUUGUUGGGAAAGAAAAGCAGCAGGUUAAUACCCCGCUGUUCUGACGGUACCCAAAGAAUAAGCACCGGCUAACUUCGUG
Molecule: ribosomal RNA, 492 nt
Filed under: uncultured bacterium
Lineage: Bacteria
Description: partial 16S ribosomal RNA
Rfam family: Bacterial small subunit ribosomal RNA
Source: RNAcentral